This 554-nucleotide ribosomal RNA is filed under the name Rhodotorula mucilaginosa. Its description in RNAcentral is "eukaryotic LSU rRNA". It matches the Rfam family "Eukaryotic large subunit ribosomal RNA", at positions 62 to 632 of the family's 3401-position model. Lineage: Eukaryota; Fungi; Basidiomycota; Microbotryomycetes; Sporidiobolales; Sporidiobolaceae. The record is from RNAcentral.
AAACUAACAAGGAUUCCCCUAGUAGCGGCGAGCGAAGCGGGAAGAGCUCAAAUUUAUAAUCUGGCACCUUCGGUGUCCGAGUUGUAAUCUCUAGAAAUGUUUUCCGCGUUGGACCGCACACAAGUCUGUUGGAAUACAGCGGCAUAGUGGUGAGACCCCCGUAUAUGGUGCGGACGCCCAGCGCUUUGUGAUACAUUUUCGAAGAGUCGAGUUGUUUGGGAAUGCAGCUCAAAUUGGGUGGUAAAUUCCAUCUAAAGCUAAAUAUUGGCGAGAGACCGAUAGCGAACAAGUACCGUGAGGGAAAGAUGAAAAGCACUUUGGAAAGAGAGUUAACAGUACGUGAAAUUGUUGGAAGGGAAACGCUUGAAGUCAGACUUGCUUGCUGAGCAAUCGGUUUGCAGGCCAGCAUCAGUUUUCCGGGAUGGAUAAUGGUAGAGAGAAGGUAGCAGUUUCGGCUGUGUUAUAGCUCUCUGCUGGAUACAUCUUGGGGGACUGAGGAACGCAGUGUGCCUUUGGCGGGGGUUUCGACCUCUUCACACUUAGGAUGCUGGUGG